This 679-nucleotide long non-coding RNA is filed under the name Mytilus galloprovincialis (Mediterranean mussel). The record is from RNAcentral. Lineage: Eukaryota; Metazoa; Mollusca; Bivalvia; Mytilida; Mytilidae.
UAGUUUUCUUAACUACCCCUACCUCGAAUGAAAGGUUACCACAUAUUUGUACAUGUUUAUUCACUGGUAACAUUCCCAUGUAAUGUCUCUGUGAGAUGGAACACAGAGAGCAUAACUGGGAACCAGUAUGUAAACAAAAUUAAUUUUCUAUGAAUACUCAAGAUCUCCCCAAAUGAGGCGUGUUUUGAGAAACAGGUGUAUUUACAAAGUGCAACCUCAAAUUAUUGACUGAUAACACAAUCAAUAUUUUACCAAUACAAACAAUAUACAAAUAUCUAAUUACAGUUUAAAGAAUAAGAUUAUUUAAAGGACGAAUUUGGUCAAGGCAAUUUACGAAAAACAAAUAUGACGUUUUCUUAUUUUAAAGCAAAUACUAAAAUCAUCACAUGAUCUACAAUAGCAACCAAUCUAGUUGUUUUUCAAGAUUCACCAAUGUAUUUGAUAACAUUUACAGAUAUGUUCACUUGUUGAAUCUCACAUGUUUAAUUAACUUCAAUUUGACACCAUAGCAUGCUUUGUUAUGUUUUGGACAUUGUUCACUGUAAUUAAAUUUAGAGUUGUAAGACUAAUAAUGUACCCAUAUGUCGAACAGCGUCUUCUGUCAUGGUCGUGCGCCAUUAUUCAAACGAAAGCUAUUUUUCAGAACAUCACAAAAAAGUAUACCUAUGGUCAUUUUCAC